This is a non-coding RNA of Taeniopygia guttata (zebra finch), 10055 nucleotides long. The record is from RefSeq and is a predicted model, not a curated record. NCBI's taxonomy places the organism in Eukaryota, Metazoa, Chordata, Aves, Passeriformes, Estrildidae.
UGUGAAGUCUCCAAAAGACUGCAGAAAUGUAAGAAGUAGAAAAGCUUUCAGGAAAUUAAAUAGGAAGUCCCACUCUAUAUAAAAUGUAAGGUGUUUUAUAUGUGCCUAUAUACAGGCUUACUUUCUUGCAAGCAGAUUCCAAAAUACAGUGGCAGUGAAAGGGCUGUCAGUGCUUAACUCCUUGGUGUAGGUUUGGAAGUCAGGGGUUUUGGGAUUAAUUUUAGAUUAGUUACUGCUCACUGUGCAAACAUUUGGAUUGAGUAAGCAGAUAUCAAGUAUGUAAUCAAUUCAAACUAUAAUUUCUUCUUGAGAAAAGGGAGUUUGCGUAAUGACAAUUUCUGCAGAAUUGUUUUCUCCACCCAGCCAUUCCUUGUCAAUACAUUUUUGUAGGUUGCUUUCUAAAAUACACAGACGCUUCUAAGGAAAUUGGUAUUACAUGUAUGUAAGUGUGCAUUUUAACUUACUAGAGUAGGGAGGGUUUUUUUGUUGUUGUUGUUAUCUUUUCUUUUUCCCAGUGAAAAUGAUUGGGAACAAAAUACACCACUCUCAAAGACAGUUCCUUAUUUAGCCAAGGUUCAGAAGUUAUAAGCCUAUUAACAAAUAUUUCUCUCUCAUAACAGGCACACUAGGGACUGCACUGAGUGUGGUUUAUAGUGAGAUGGAUCAGAAAAGGAAGUUCCAAGGCAGUUGGUGACUGAGGAAGGCAAAAGGCAGUAGUGGACACUGUUGAAACCUAGGAAAGAGUUCAGAUACAAACAACUGCCCUACAGCUUUGGUGGCUUUCAUCACCAAUUUAUAGAAAGGACUAUCCUGUAGCUUUACUGGUAGCAACAAAUAGACAGUGCUCGUGAUCUUCCCAAAUACACAAAGGUUUCUCAGCAGCAGUGCUGAGAAAACAUGAAAACUCUGUUUUGUUUCCCAGUGUUUGAGAGUUUGCAUUGGAAUUGCUGGACGUCCAAGUUGUUACAGUCACAACUUCUUGUUACAGUAACAUGCUGCCAGCUCCUCUGCCCCAAAGAUGCUGCUGCUUAAUUUCCACGCUUGCUCUCUAGAAGGAGCAGCUGAGCUGAUUGUGCCCUGUCGUGUCUGUUCCUUGCUGUAGGGAGCGAGCAGAACAUGCAGGAAAGGUAACCUCUCCUUCCUCUCACUGCUUUCCAGUGGGCAAGAGAGAAAGGGAGAAACAAAUGUACAGGAGUCACCUGCUCUCACUUCCAGCCUGCCCUGGUAGUUUUUCUCAGAGAGGGAUAUUGGGACGUGAUAGGAGCUGUGGGAACACAAGAGAGUGAUGAGAAGGUGAGCCUGGGUUGAGCUUUUGCUGCAGCACAAGGGGACAUGGUGACACUGGGCUCCUCUUGGUCACUGUAGGCACCUCUCCGAGCUCUGAAGAGGCAGGCUGUGUCAUCACCUGGGCGUUUGCCCUGAUACCUGUUCUUUGGGCAGCUGCCUGGAGAAGGGGACAGACAAGAAGACGAAGGAGGGGGAGAAGCCAGGUUUGAGUGCUGCAGUCACGGAGAGAGAAGCGUUGGCGCACCCCGGGCCGCUCUGUCCGGCCGCUCCCCGCGGCACCUGCGGGGGGCGCUGUCCCGCCUGAGGGCGCGGGGCUCCAGGAGCGCGGGGCGGGCCCGGCCGCCGCCGCCUCAGCCGGAGCACCGGAGCCGCCGGGAGCGCCGGAGCAGCCGCCAGCAUGAACAGGGGCAUCCUGCACACGCUGAGAACGCGAAAAGAGCUCAUUCCCCUGGCCGGAAUAUUGUCCUUGGCAGCAGUUGGGGCAUUCUCUUUUUGUGUCUAUUCCCUAUUCAGCAAAUCUGAUGUGAUCAUUCACAAGAUUGGCAGUUCAGAACCAUGGGAAACUAUUGAUCCUGCCAAACCUCAGAAGCUGGUAACAAUCAAUCAGCAGUGGCAGCCUAUAGAAGAGCUGGAAAAGGUCAAAAAGCUUACGAAGUGAGAAGUUUCUGUUGCCUGAAAAAGAUGUUUGUAACUGGAGGAAAGCACUGGAGCAUGCAUUCCAUGGUAUUUACCAAUAUAAGCCUUCAAGAAGUGUCCAAACUCCUUCCCAGUAAUUGACUGGGCAGUCUGUGCUAGCACACAACUCCUGCGAAGGCUGAGAGCGCUGCGCCAUCGCCUGGAGCAGCUGCGAACCGCCUGCAAGGCUCCAGAAUUGAAAUGCCAAGAAUUCCUCGUGCCUCCAGGAGAGGCCCUUCCUUACCUUGAAGCGGAUGAUGUAGGCAGCUACGAGCACCCCGAUGCUCUGUACCAGGUCCCCCAGGGCGUGGACAAACGCUGCUCUCACAGCCAGGCUGCUGUGCCCGUGGCUGCUGUGCCCGUGGCUGCUGUGCCCGUGGCUGCUGUGCCCGUGGCUGCUGUGCCCGUGGCUGCUGCCCUGGGCUGCAUUUGGAGAGCUCGGCUGAGCUUCUUCCAGAGUCACUGUCAUGUCAGCAUUGUAGAUUUGUGCUGAGAUCUUUCACUUCUUGUGAAAUGAACUGUGCACCGUCUCAGUGGACUGGCUGAUCCUGUCAUUACUAACAUUGUCUCUGCAGCAAUGGACGAGUGCCAGGUUCCAUAUCUAUGCUUAAAUCUGCUCAGUGUCUUGCUGAAAAGGAGGUAGCUGCACUUGGUGGGGAAAAUGAACUAUUUUCCGUUUCAAGAAUUUAAUUCUUUUUUAACAUGACUGCAGUUUCUAUUAUUUUGUCUUCACUUUUCUAACCCAUUCCUGAAUCUGUCAGCUUCCUUUUCACAACUCAUAAUGGAAUAAAACUGAACUUGGAACUUAUAUAUUAUGUAUUCAAAGAGAAUUCAAAUAAAUGAAAAUUAGUGCUAACUUCCUUCUGGAAUUUAACUAGACAACUAACAGGUCUGUUGCUUUUACAAAACAAUGUUUAUGGGAAUAAUUGAAAAUUCAUCAUUCUGCAAACAAAAAUGAUAACAAGUACCAGAAACAUUGUUCAUUAGAAUGUUUUCAUGCCUACUGAAUGUAUGGAUUAUCUUAAAACUAAAUGCAGAGCAGGUCAGUGAUGAGACAAUUCGCGCACAUAUUCCCAGCUUAAAACAAAUAAUUCACAUCUGCUGUGAUAGAUGCCCAAUCUGUACCCUACUUCUAACAUCCUGACAUAUUUUAACAUCUGUCUUGUGAAGUUUAAGCUAUUGUUGAACUGAUAUUAUUUGCUGACAAGCUUCUUACAUAUAGGUUACUUGGAAAAAUGUGUUACAAGAAACUAGAAAUGCUUUGUUCCAUUGCCAGCACUCACUGAUGUGUGAAACUGGGCCCUCAGGCCACAGCAUUUAGACUGGGUGCCUAAAAUCAGGCAAAUAAAUUUCACAAAUGUGAUUUUUAAAAGACUGUGUAUAGUAAUUUUGAGCCAUCCCAUCUUCUGUACUUUGGGGGCUCCUGGCAAAGCCUUGACUCACUUCCUUCCUGCAGCACAGAAACUCUUCUCCCCAGCCCCAGGCUCUCCUCAUCCAGAGAGCUGCACUGCUGCUACUCAUGCAGGGUGGUUGAAGUAAAAAGGAGCCCCUGGAAAUUGUGUAGUCCUGCUCAAAGGAGGGUCAGCUACAGUGAGUUGCUCAGGGCCGCUCCCAGGUGGGCUUCAUGUAUUUCCAACUGAAGACACUCCACUAGAACCUGUUCUAGUCUUUGACCACCUGCUGGCACUGGGAGCAGAAAAGGAGGAACAAUUGUUGCAGAACUUAGAGGCUGCUCCCUAUAGCUGCUCCUAGAGAGAAGGGCAGUACAGACUAAUUUUAUGGGCCACAUCUGGCCCAUGGACCACCACUGGAUCAGACUGGCUAGCAUUUGACUAGUAUUUUUCUUGGCAGUAAACUGGAAAGAAAAAAAUAUACAGAAAAUGAGGUGGCAGUAAUCUUCAGGGAUUUCUUCUUUCGCAUUAAUUGAAAAGCCAGUGAAAAUUUACAGAACUGAGUAAUAUUUUAAUGGUUAAAUAAGGUCCUUUUAUUUUUAAUAGCCCUGUUUUAAGCUAGCACAUUCAAGGUAUGUGCUAUUUGAUUUUAGAAAAGUUACAAAGACAUAUAAACUACCCAAAUUAUUUUGAAAUAGGGUUAAAGUAUGUAUAAAUGCUAACAAACAUCCUUCUGCAGAGUAUGAGCAAGUGCCAGGGGCAUACCUGCAAGGUCAGGUUUCAGUAUCAGAGGAGCUCCUAUCACAAAAUUAAAACUUCAUGAAAGAAAAGUUUGUAAUGGGAAAUGCUGGCAUUGCUAAUGCUUUCUUGCUAGAGCCCCAAAGAGCUUAGCUAGUGUACAGAGUUAUGCAUUCAUGCACUAGUGACUAACUGAUGACAAAUGACAAGGAAUGAUGGAGUUGUUGAAUUCUACUGCUGUUCUAGCAGCCAAAAUAAGAAUUGCAAAUAGUGACUACACAAGAAUGAAAUUCCUUGAAAAAUGUAUGCUAUAGAGUGUAAUAGAAAACAGGUAGAAAACUGGGACACUAGAAAUUACCUAUUUAAUGAAAAAGAUACUUUGAAGAUUUUGCAAAAAUGUCUACGGACCUGCAGCUGUAUAUUAUAUCCAGUUAGCAACCACAUUUCUCAUCAUUACAUUUCCAAACAUAAAGUUAUAAAUCCUGAAAUUAUUCUUCCAAGGGUUAGUCCAUAAUUCUGUUUACACUUCUUUUUAGAGACACCUUAACUGGACAGAUGUUAAGUAAUUUGCUGUAUUUUGCAAACCAUAGGGCAUUUUGACCUCAGCUUUCUGUGGUUUGGGAAAUGCAAGAGGAAUACUGAUUUAUACAAGUUCUGGCAGGGCAGAGCUCUCUAAUAAUAUGUUCUACAUAACUUCUUAGUUGUGGAUUAAAAUGUAAUUUUUCACAUUGAAUAGGACCUUUUUUCCAGUAUCCCAAUUGUGCUGAAGUCAACAAGAUUUUUUAAAUCCUGGGCACUGGCAAUAAUCUGUUGUGAACAACCACGGGCUGACAUGCACAGCUCCUGCACCAGCAAUGUCACCAUGAAUUCAAUUCCCCAGCCUUCCUCUUCAAAUGGAAGAAGUAUUCAGAAUUUAACUCUGAAUCUGCUAUGUGCCCCUUCCACAGAAAUGGUGGGACUUGCCUUUCUCCCAGUGAAUGAAAUUCUGCUGUCAAACUUUUGGCCAAGUUUAGUUUUUUGGGUUUUUUAAUCUAUUCACUUGUGGCAAUACAACAGUGUAUCCCCAAUAGCCAGUGAAUGGACACUGAGAGUCAGCUAAAGCAACUCUUAGGUUUGUUGCUUUCUUUCUAGCUACCUGUUCUUCUAGAAUUAGGUGGUCUUUACAGUUGUUGCUUAAAAUACUCUUUAACAGCAAAAUCUGAUAGCUACAUACCUAAGCGAUGAAAUCCAAAAGUGAACCUCUUUGUUGGAGAUUUUGCAGAUAGCCAGAGAGCGAGCAGAGUCAAAAUAAUACCACUAAGGUCAAUUAGCAUGUGAAGUGCAUCUGUCAUAAUUGCUAGACUGUUAGCAACAUAGCCACCUGAAAACAUAAUAGGAAAAGUCAGGACAUAUGACAUUUUAAAUUAUUUUACAUAAUAUCCUCUUGCGCAGCUUACAGUUCUUUAUUUUCAGAAUAGAACAAUAAGUACACGAGAGCCUUUCUUAUACCCUCUAAACAUGGAGGGGUGUUUGCCACUACAAGGAAAAUGCCAUGCAAUGAUUUAAAGCUACCAUAGUUAAAAGUGCAGUCAAGUGUGCUUUCUAUUAAGAGUAACAUAGAAAGGAUUCACUCCUGUUAUUCUAACAGAGACUUCUUGCGUCAUAAUGUUUGCAAGAUCAGGUCCAAAACAGUUUUGUGUCUUUUCUCUGCAUAUUACUGCACGUGUUUAAUCACUGAUUCUUUUGUUAAACUACAGCUGUUAAACACUCUAACAGAACAGAACAGGAACAGAAUUCCUAAGAUUCAAUGACCAGGAAAUUUACCCUGUCCCCUUUUUAUUUUUAUUACUUUGUUUUUCAACCUUAAUUAUUCCCCAUCCUGGCAGAAGCGUGUACAUUCUCGCAAUAUCUAUUGAAAGACAAUGACUUUCACUCAUACAGCAUUUUUCUUUGUUGUUUAUUACCAUAAUUUUUUAUUGUAAUAAUGAGCUGCAUUGAGACAAAUAACCUGAGAUCAAAGGUUAAUAUCUUUGUUCCAAUUCAAUUGCUAGUGCUACUAUUGGAUGAGUGAAAGAUUUAAACAAUGCACCUCUCCCUUAAGUAUCCCUUAUACAGAGGGGACUCAAGGACAGGCCGUGUUGUCUCACAUAUGCUUGAAGGUAAGCCUAUUAUUUCAGAAAAGAUCACAUCUUCAGUGUCAGCUCAGCUAUUAUUUGGUUUCUCUUUUUACCUUGAGAUUGUCAUGCAGCCUGUAAAUUGUACUGAGCAAAGUGUGCAGCUGGUGUGCCAUUUGGCAGGCUUCAGGCUUCAACUAACAUUUCAAACAAAGCAAUCUUCAUAUACAAUUAAAAUUGUCUUAGUGAAGAGGCUGACCAGAGAAAAUAGCAAAGGGGAAUUCACAACUGGCUGAUAGGUUUUAAGACUGGUCACAAAACCUGUGUGUGUGUGGCUGUGGGUGUUCUUAUGUACACACCUGCAGACAGAGCUGCUCUCUCCUCCCCAGCCAAACACGGAGCACAGCUGUACUGCAGUACUGUUUGUGCUGUGGCCACCUACCAAAUGCACUACAUUUCAAACAGCUCCUUUCCUCCAGCCUCUUUCUUCAAUUGCUCUGAACUUUCUAUGUCAAAUUCUUCUGAGGCUGAAAUUCUCCAAAAGGCCAUCACAGCUCAUAAACAAUGACUUUUUAAGAUUUAGCACUUCAGCAGCUUUUUGAGUAAAAUGAGUUAUGCCUUUCCUUUUUGAAUUAAUUUGUGUUCUCACAUAUUUAAAAAAAAAUAUUUAGAAAGUGCAACUCAACCUCUUUUAUAGUCAACAGAGAAGAAACAAUAUGUAAGGACAUUUAGUGCAGUACUUUACAUAUAUAAUUAUUUACAGUAUAUAUGUUGAUUUAUAUGUAUUAUUUUGAGAAUCACUUCAGUCCAAGAAGAGUCAAUUCCACUUCAGCUAGCCUCUCACAUUUAAAGAUUUUCAAAAUAAAAUUAUAAGGAAGGAAUUCAGAUACUGAAGCUAAACAUAAUGCAGCAUGUGGAUUAAGAAAACAUAAUUUCCAUUUACAAAAUCCUGAAAUCAAAGGUUCUCUGUUUCUAAAGGUAUCGGUUCAUCACGUGGUUAAAGGAACUGCCUAGGGGCUGUUUAAAUACAAUUGGCAACUUGGAAAAAAAGACAUCUAUAAUCUUUACAAAUAAACAGCUUGAUGGCUCACCACUGUUUUCCGUGACCCAUGAAGGACAGCAGUUCUCCUCAUGGAUGAUCAAUUAGAAAUUUCUAAACAUAGCUGAGAACAUCAAAACCCUGUGAGAAAAACUAACUAGGACUUGCAAUAUGUUUUUCAUUUCUUAAUGCACAAUGGUUUCCCCAAAGUGUAAAUUGUUAUCCAACUGGUAAUCAAAUUAAGCAACAAACACUGAGAUAGGCUAAAGUAAUGAGUUUGGAAAAAAUAUGCCAAUCAAGAUCUCACAGGAAAAGCUGCUGAAACAAGAUUUCCUUCAUCUUGACAUUGGUAACAAGACACCAGAAAGAUUUUUACUGAAAAAAUUAAUUGUCUUGUAGUCUUCUGCCUUUCUCUCAGAAACUGAAAUCUGUCAAAGAUCAUAGACAGAAGUCAGUUAAAAUAUCCUACACGACCAGAGUUUCCCAAAUACCUGAGCUUCAGAUCUGUUCAUAAAGUUUGGAAAUUUGAAACCAACCAAAGACCAUACAGUACAGGGCUGGAGUUAAAUAAAUUAAAUAGGUGGGACACUGACCCAGGACUUGGGGGCUAUAUCUCUACUCUUCUGCUGAUUAUUACUUGCCCUGUGACAAGAUCCACAGAAUUACAGAGAUAUCCAAACCCUCUAUUUAUUCUUUGUGGAAGAUGGAUGCCUGAAUAUUUGAUGGGUCUGACUCUCAGUGCUCUCUGAUUCUGUGUCCCAAGAAAGAAAUAUGGCUGGAAACAGCACACCCAGACCUGAGGAGGAUGAGUCCACAGUUCAGCAUUAACACUCUGUACAGACAAAUCCAGCCUGCUCAAGUCCCGACUCUGCGGGAAGUACAACAGUUGAUGUGACAGUGAUCAGAGUAUUUCUACUCUCAACAUCUAUUAUUUCCAGAGCUGUCCCUGCACUAGCUAUGGAGAGGUCUCCAACAGCAUGAAUCGGAUCCAAAGCCCCAAAAAGAAACGCUCCCAGUGACUUGAGCAUCAACCUGCCAACAGCUCGGACAUUAUUCAGUAAGAGGCCCUUCACUAAGAGGGCCACUGAAGCCAUUAUUGAGGGUCAUUAUUCAGUAAGAGGCCACUGAACUAAAUUCAGUGUACAUCAGAACUCUGAUACAAUCAACUAGCAUCACUCUUAUGUUAAAGGAUGUCUAAGCCUAAAAUACAACAUCAAAUUUACCUGAGUUCAUGCUGAACCAAAAUCUCAGCCAGAGAAAAAAUAUGGAGCCAGGGGGCAAAUGGAGGCAUUCAGCCAAAUCCCCUCAGGUUUGACACAUCGAGCCUUAGCCAUAAUAAGCUGAUGUAUUGUGGCCAUGUUAUUAAUGACCAGCCACACACUGAGACACGCUGAAAGGCAAAACCACUUUUUUCCAUUAACCCACAUUCCUGAAAAAAGGCCCCAAAUAAAACUGGUGCAGACACAGUCAAUAUUCUGGUCUCUCUCUGAAAAAUUGAAUAUUUCUUGUAGGGUUUUUUUUUUCCCCUACAUCUGUGGGACAAACUGCAUUAGUUAUACUCUAGCAAUUAUUUUGUCCCCUAUCCAUCUUGCACAAGUUUGUGUUAAGAACACGAUUCACAGUCGUCCUAGCAAAAGCAUCCAAGAGCAUGAGCUCACUUCACACAAGUAUUCAACUGACUCAAUAUGCAGAAGUCAGGAGGAGGAUGUAGAACAUGCUACUGUUCUUCACUUCCAGAAAGUUUUUAUUAUUAGAUUUGUGUGUGUGUGCUUGAAUUAUGGCAAGUAAUUAAUCUGAUUAGCUCUGAUUCAGACUUGAAUGCUGAAAUUUAAGAAAUUUUAAAGCAAUUAAUUGCUAUGGAGAGAUCUAGCUCAACAUACAUAUCAAUGUACUGGCACUGUGUAGUACUCCCCACAACUCCAAAUCAGGGGACAGCGGAUAAGAACAUUAAAGCAUUUUUCAGGAGGCUGAGUCACACCCAACAGACACUUGCACGGCAUGGCAUGGAUGUAUCCAAAAUACAGAUAUCCAAAAUAGUAAGAGGACACAGUAAGUGAACAGAGAUUAGAAGAUAAAUACUGAACUUUGUAAAAAUGAUAAGACAAUGUCAAAGGCAUAACACUUAACAGCUAAUCUAUGCAUCUCAAGGACACAUUUUAUUUCAAGUCUAUGCUGCUAUAGCCUAUUUGAUAAAGCACAGUUGUAUAAUGUUGGUGUAUAAUACACAGGUUCUCCUCAUCCUGCGCAGCACAGCCGUUAGGAGGGAGCAAUAAAAGCUGAACUUGAGCAAUAGGUUCAUUCUUCUGACCAACAAUCAGGUGCUUAUAUGGGAACUCAUUUUCAGGUAAAACCCCACUAUACUUCUGCAAGUACUGACAAAAACUACAAAUAAUUUAAUGCAACUACUUGGUAUUCUUAUAUAUUGUAGCAGGAAGUGUUAAAAUAACUGUGACUUGACUGUGCUCAUAUGAUUUAUGUCUGGAUGGAGCACAUGCUAGUCCAGGCCACAGUAUGAUAUCAAGAAGUUCUCAAGGGAGUGAUGUCUCUACUGGAUUGCCAUUGAUAGUUCAGGACUUUUAGUUCAAAGUAAUAGUGUGUAUUGGUGUAUAUGGUGAAUAAGGAAAAAUAUCCCAGAGUAUUACUUUCAUUAUUAUACUAAAUGUCGGAUUUAAAACUAUAUUUUCCUCUUCUUCUCUUGUUGCAAACACAGUAAGAUUUUAUGGUCGUUGAUUAAAAAAUACUGCAAUUGAAAUUGUUCAUGCCACUUUUCCUUUGUUAAAAACAACUUAAAAACUUACAAGAAGAAAUAAAAAUCUAUUAGACAAAGAAAAA